UAAUUACAACAAGUAUAUUUCGUUUAUAAAUGAAGAAAUAGCUAUUUAAUAGUACUAAAUCUACACCACAAACUUCCGGUCUACUGCAGCAAUAGCGCUAGAACAGAAAUGACCGAAAGAAUUUUUUUUUCAUGUCCUAAGAACAAAAAUACAUAAUUUUUAAAAUAUAUUUUCGGCAGCCUUUCAUUUCAUAAACAUAAGGUGUCGAACUGAAAAUGAAGCCGGGAAUGUACAAAGAUAAACGUGGCUACAAUGAGCACCAAAUUAGGAUGUGAAGCCGCUGCCCACGCAACCAACUUGUCCUCCUUGUCACCGAAGGUCAUCCUAAAACUUGACCCAAGGAAUACAUUCAACUCCGUCAGCCGCGAUGCUGUCCUCAGCUCAGUAAGAGAGAAGGUUCCACAACUCUACCGCUUUGCAUGGCAGGCUUAUCGGUGACCAAAUCAUCACCUCUACCUUAGAUGUCCAACAGGGCGACCCACUCGGGUCUAUUCGCACUGGGCAUUGAUGACAUCACCAAGAUGAGGGGGGAGUCGAGCUAGACCUCAACGUCUGGUAUCUCGAUGACGCUUGUUUGGUGGGGGAACCUCCAGACAGGGUUCUGGCCAUUGCAAACAAGAUGGUUGAGGAGCUUGGUUGUCAGGGUCUCCAAAUAAACAGCUCCAAAUGUGAGCUCUGGAUCCUCAAUAUCAACAAACUAUAGACCUAUUUACAGAGUUCUUCCCUUCCAUUGCAGUUCCUCCCUCAUCUAUUUGGUGCUCCUUAGGAGCCCCAAUUAUUGACCUUGCCUUUGAGUCUAUCUUCCAGUAGAAGGUGGCUGCUUUAGAGCAAUUGCUGAAGAAUAUAGAAGCAAUCGAACCCCAUCAAGGUUUCUUCAUACUUAGAAAUUACCUUUCGUUUCCUAAGCUUCUAUAUUUUUGCUCAGUCAGCUGCUCUCACCGAUUCCCUUCUUACCUCCAACACUUCGACAACCUAAUCUUUGAGAGACUCGAAUGCUUGGUCAAUGUCAGGCUCUCUCCAACAUCCCACGAUCAGGCUGCAUUGCCCAAGCAAGUUGGGGGUCUUGGUCUUUGAAAGUGUUUGUCCCUCUCUCUCCUCUGCUUCCUUUCUUCCACUUACACCUGCUCCACCCUGGUGAGCAACAUCCUCUCCUCUCCAACAUGGACCAGUACCAACAGGGAGUUGGAUGAAGCUCUCCAACACUGGAGUGAAUUGGGCAUGUCUGAUCCUGUCGGAGUCAGAGAGCUUGGGACAACAAGCAGAUAGGAGUUUCCAAACGUUUAAUGUCAAGAAAAUUGCCACAUUCAUUCUUAUGUAGGUUCUUAUGUUUUUUUUCUUAACUUUUUUGAGCUUUCAACUUCCAAUUUAUUUGUAAUGUUUUUUUAAAAAGAUGUUAUCUUUCUACAACAUGCAAGUAAAUCAGUAAUUACAUCCA
Octopus bimaculoides (California two-spot octopus) is the source of this 1435-nucleotide long non-coding RNA. RefSeq lists it as uncharacterized. The record is from RefSeq and is a predicted model, not a curated record. Lineage: Eukaryota; Metazoa; Mollusca; Cephalopoda; Octopoda; Octopodidae.